This is a non-coding RNA of Oryza sativa Japonica Group (Japanese rice), 1797 nucleotides long. The record is from RefSeq and is a predicted model, not a curated record. Lineage: Eukaryota; Viridiplantae; Streptophyta; Magnoliopsida; Poales; Poaceae.
GAUCAACAAAAUCCAAAACAUUUUCUGAUCAUAUACACUACCCACUGUGACCGUGGCCGUUCGAUCAGCGCCGAGGAAGCGAUCCAAACCGUUGCUCAGCUCCUUCUCGCAGAGUCGCCGUCCUCCCCUCCCCUCGCCGCCGCCGCCGCCGCCGCCGCGCCACCAAACACUCGAGCUCGCCGGACUUAGGGUUUUAGCUUCCUUGCCUCGCCGCGGCGGCCGCCGCCUGCCUAGGGGCUUAUGGUUACUGCUGCUGCCGCGGCUGCAUCGAACAACCACUAGAAGCUGGCUGCUUAGGGUUCUACUAGCUUCCUGCCUCGCCGCCGCCGCGAUGGAUGCGCUCCGGGAGGCAGAGGCCAAGCUGACCGUGUACGUGCACCCCUCCAACGCCGCCGACGUCCGCCGCGCCGUCGCCCGCCAGCUGAGCUCGCUCCUCUUCUCGUAUGAAGAUCGCUUCGAUGGCGUACUAUUGGCUCAUGAAGCAACUGUAGAGAGUGAACAAGGCAAAAUCCUGAAUGGUUUGGUACCAUACUUUGGCGUGCCCGUGCACGCAAAUCUGCUGCUUUACUCUCCGAAACCAGACAUGAUGCUGGAAGGGAAGGUUGAAAUGCUUGGAAAGGAAUCAAUACAUGCCAUUGUAUUAGGGGUAUUUUCAGCCGCCAUCAUGUUGGAUGAUAUUCAUGAGAAGUUCAAGUUCAAAAGAAAAAAGUAUGGAGGAAAAUUUGUAAGCCGGUCGGACAAACAGCACGUGAUUAAAAAGGGAAGCAUGAUACGAUUUUCUGUGAAAAGGUAUGGGCUGAUCUUUAGUCCCCUUGACAGUUUCAAAAUUUUCAUUCAUUGUUUGCUUUCCACUGUGAAACACCUUUAUUCAAAAGUUAUGGCACUUGUAUGUUACUAUAUUUGUAAUUUGUUAGUUGUAUGCAGUACUUGCUGUACGUUGUUCACGAACAUGCAUUGUUCUAGCAUGUUAGAAUUGUUUUUCCCCUGGUGUGCUUAUUAUGACAGGAGCCCUGAAAAAAGUCAUUUUGAUACAAUGGCUCUUAAGUCUAAUAAUAAAACAAUGUGAAUGGUUUUCUGAAAUACACACAUGCAUUUACAUAGCACAGCUAAUCUAUAUAGCAAAAGCUUCUUUUAGCUUCCUGUGUUAUGUACAAGAAAUGACCAGCAAUUUAUUCCCCGGUACAACUGAAUGGUUAAAUUAGGGACUAUGGGAUGAUUGGAACCAGCUAAUGUCAGGCUCCAUAUUCCGAGUGACAGAUUGAUCAUGUUCUCUUCUUUUGAUGUUCAAUCACAGGGUGGAUGCAGAAAUGAAUUGUCACGUAACUGGUUCUUUAAUCCCACCUCACACUGGAUCCAUGCUUUGGUUGUCAGUACACGAUGAUGAAUAUGCAUUGGAAAUCAACAGCGGGAAAAGGUCAAGGGAUAACAAAAUUAAAACUGAGCAGCACGAACAAGAUCACAGUGUGAAGAGUUCUGGAAGAAAACACAAGUCCAAGUCCCGAAAGAGGAGUUUUGAGGAAAGAUGAUACCGAUUUUAUGGAGCAGAUUGUUUGAGUAGAAAUUAUAGUUGAUAGCUGGGAGCUGCGUCUGCUUCCUGUGAAUAGCCACUGCAGAGAUACGCUGCUCCAGUUGAAAUAGCCUGAUUAGGAAGCUGCUUCCUGACUGUUUUACAGUGUAUUAUCAGAUGUCACCCUAAUUUUCUGUUGUACCAUCGACUGCCAUGAUGAUGUAAAACAAAUCAAGGAUUUGAUGUGUAACAUUUACCUGUUCUAAUGGAUGUUGAUCUUAUCCCAGAAA